Non-coding RNA from Pelodiscus sinensis (Chinese soft-shelled turtle), 192 nucleotides. Lineage: Eukaryota; Metazoa; Chordata; Testudines; Trionychidae. The record is from Rfam.
UCUACUACAGGGCUCAUCUACAUGCCAUGCUAAAGUGUAGUAGCGGUUAUCAGUUUAAUACCUGAUAUGUUCUCUGAGAACUUUAUAUUAAAUGGAUCUUUGAAGCAGGGGCUCAGAACAGGAGCUUGCUCUGUCCACUCUGCGCAUCCACCUGUAGUGCUGAGUUAAUGCACAGCAAGCCAGGUUAUCAGU